This 494-nucleotide ribosomal RNA is filed under the name uncultured bacterium. RNAcentral describes it as "bacterial SSU rRNA". It matches the Rfam family "Bacterial small subunit ribosomal RNA", at positions 15 to 507 of the family's 1533-position model. The record is from RNAcentral.
GAUCAUGGCUCAGAUUGAACGCUGGCGGCAUGCCUUACACAUGCAAGUCGAACGGCAGCACGGGUGCUUGCACCUGGUGGCGAGUGGCGAACGGGUGAGUAAUAUAUCGGAACGUACCUUAUCGUGGGGGAUAACGCAGCGAAAGCUGCGCUAAUACCGCAUACGCCCUGAGGGGGAAAGCGGGGGACCGUAAGGCCUCGCGCGAUCGGAGCGGCCGAUGUCAGAUUAGGUAGUUGGUGGGGUAAAGGCUCACCAAGCCGACGAUCUGUAGCUGGUCUGAGAGGACGACCAGCCACACUGGGACUGAGACACGGCCCAGACUCCUACGGGAGGCAGCAGUAAGGAAUAUUGGUCAAUGGACGAAAGUCUGAACCAGCCAUGCCGCGUGAAGGAUGACGGCCCUAUGGGUUGUAAACUUCUUUUGUACGGGAAUAAACCCUUCUACGUGUAGAAGGCUGAAUGUACCGUAAGAAUAAGGAUCGGCUAACUCCGUG